RNAcentral lists this transfer RNA (76 nucleotides) under Armatimonadota bacterium. RNAcentral describes it as "Armatimonadetes bacterium (fermentation metagenome) tRNA-Ala". It matches the Rfam family "tRNA". Rfam says of the family: Transfer RNA (tRNA) molecules are approximately 80 nucleotides in length. Their secondary structure includes four short double-helical elements and three loops (D, anti-codon, and T loops). Further hydrogen bonds mediate the characteristic L-shaped molecular structure. tRNAs have two regions of fundamental functional importance: the anti-codon, which is responsible for specific mRNA codon recognition, and the 3' end, to which the tRNAs corresponding amino acid is attached (by aminoacyl-tRNA synthetases). tRNAs cope with the degeneracy of the genetic code in two manners: having more than one tRNA (with a specific anti-codon) for a particular amino acid; and 'wobble' base-pairing, i.e. permitting non-standard base-pairing at the 3rd anti-codon position. The record is from RNAcentral. Lineage: Bacteria; Bacillati; Armatimonadota. RNAcentral also lists the same sequence under 1 other name.
GGGCGGAUAGCUCAGUUGGGAGAGCGCCUCCCUCGCACGGAGGAGGCCGUGGGUUCGAAUCCCAUUCCGUCCACCA